This 180-nucleotide ribosomal RNA is filed under the name uncultured bacterium. RNAcentral's name for it is "partial 16S ribosomal RNA". It matches the Rfam family "Bacterial small subunit ribosomal RNA", at positions 332 to 526 of the family's 1533-position model. The record is from RNAcentral.
AUUACUCCUACGGGAGGCAGCAGCUAAGAAUCUUGCGCAAUGGGCGAAAGCCUGACGCAGCAAUUCCGCGUGGGGGACGAAGGCCCUCGGGUCGUAAACCCCUUUUGUGAGGGAAGAAGUUCUGACGGUACCUCACGAAUAAGACACGGCUAACUACGUGCCAGCAGCCGCGGUAAUAAU